CCAAAUAGGCUAGGCUAGUAAUAUACUGUAAAACACUAAAACUCUCAUAUCUCACGCCUGUUACUCUCACGCAAAACCCUAAUUCUCUACUUCUCUCACGCCUCAAGACACGCAGUGUCGCUGGUCGCAAUCACGGCUGCCAGUGCCGGCGCCGGAGCAACUGAAAUGGAACGGCCGACGGGAAAGUUACCAGAUUCGUCCAAGUCUGGGGCGGAGAUUUCGUAGUAGGAGACUUUUAGCAAGUAAAAGUGGCCUACCGAUUGGUUUAUACAAGAGUCGAGAAAGCAUUGACAUUACAGGUUCACAGAUGCAUCUCAUUGGGAAUCUGGAAUGGAGAGACUCAUUGUAUUACUAGUAUCAUUUAAGUUGCUUUCGUAGGAACUUGUGUUUUCAGACAUUAGUUUUAAGUUGGUGUGUUUUAGUUUGAGACAUUGUUAUUGGUUUCAUAAGUUUUAAUAAAUUGUUUUUUAGUAAGUUGUUUUCCGCUGCAAAAUUCUGAGUAAGCCGAAACGUUAUCACACGGGCGAUAAUGCCUAGGUAAUUCUCUAAGGUUAUUAUAAAAGUAUUUUCUAGAAAGAGAGAAUUAUCGGGGUGUUACAUAAGGUUAAUUUUAUUUUACUAAAAUAUACAGUUAAUAAAUUCAAGGAAGGUAUAAUACGCAGAGUUGGCAACGGGAAGAAUAUUGAUCUUUGGACAGACCCCUGGACAAGUGCUGAAAAAAAGAGAUUUGUUGAGAGUGACGAAAUUGAAGGUCUCGGUGUUGUGGGGGACUUGAUAAAUUUCGAUACAAUGGAGUGGUGAGCAGAGUUACUUGACCAAUAUUUCUCUGAGAGAGAUGUACGAUGUAUCCUCGUUAUCCCUCUUAGUGCUCGUAGAGGUGCAGAUGUUUUUAUCUGGGCUUACUCUCGGGACAGAUGUUAUUCAGUGAAAACAAAAUAUAUGUUAGGCAAAGGGGGUAACCUUGAUGAUUUUCAUGGCGAUUGGGUGGAUCUCUAAAAGGUGGAUUUUUCUUAAGGUUCGUCAUUCUAUGUGGAGAUUUUGCAAUGAUUCCCUACCUGUUCGUGCAACUCUUCAUGUUCGCCAUAUUAUGGAUGUUGGCUCAUGUCUGUGGUGCCCAGAUCAUAACGAAACCGUGUUCCAUUCCCUAAUGGGAUGCGAGAGAAUUCAGCCUCUAUGGAAAAAAUGCGAGUGUGAGGAGAUGGUGAAGGGCUCGGAUGAGUGGGGUCUCUUGAGCUGAUGGCGGAAUGGAGUAAGAUGGAUGCAAAGAUGGUUCAACAAGGGUGUUUCCUUGCUUGGAAUAUCUGGUACAAACUGAACAAGUUUGUUUUCGAGAGCAAAUGUACGCCGCUUGAUGUUAUAGCCAAUUUUCUGUCUAUGUGACGUUCACAACUUCUACAAUCAACAGAUUUAUGCGGAGUCAAUUUGGGGUUCCUCUCCAAGCCCUAACAAGUGGUGUACUCCACCUGAGGGGUUAUUCAAAAUCAAUACUGAUGCAUCAUUGAGUGAGGAAGGCUAAAGUUUGAGUGUUGUAGCCUUGUAGCGAGAGAUGGUGAGGGGGUAGUCCUCUUUGUGGUGGUAAGGAGAACACGAGCUUGGUGGCCACCUGUUGUAGUGGAAGCUAAAACCAUCCACAUGGAUGUUGGAUGGGCGAAAAAACAAGGGUUCAAGGAUUUAGUCAUUGAGUCUGAUGCACAAGUUUUAAUCUCUCGCUUGUCUCGUACUUCAAUCUACUUCUCUAAUUUGGAUGUCAUCCUUGGUGAUAUUAUUUUUAUAUGUUCUAGUUUUCAUUCUUUCUCUUUUUCUCAUGUUAGGAGAGGUGGAAAUUUUGUUGCCCACCACUUGGCGAAAGUAAUGUCGUUUGGUUAUGAACAAUGUUGGGUUAAUCAUUAUCCCAGUAUUGUUUCUCCCUAUAUACUCAUCACACUCUGUCUAUGGUUUAAUGAAUGCACUAUACUUUCCCUUUAUAAAAAAUUAAUAAUUUGAAAAUGUAUUUUAUCAAAAAAAAGUAAUUGAAAAUGCAUUUUACAAAACAAAAAAAUAAAAAGGCAGGAGUCAAUGUGAAUAUAGCAACGUCUCAAAUUGUACAACCGUACAAGUAUGUCUCCAUAAAUUGUUCAGUGUGUUGUGUAGCAAAAACAUGAAUUCUCGAAACCCGAACAUUGGCUCCAACGACGCCGUCUUGAACUAGGGAUUGAGUUUCGUUCGUUAAAUCUAGAUAUAGUAAAACAUGGUUUCUUCAAGACUAGCUCAAGCAUUGUCAAAGUGCAAGAUCGUAAGAAACGAUGCAAUGUUCAGGAAUACGCGCAAUGUAUCAACCAGCAUCCUUCCCAAUGUGUCGAAGCAGGAUCCAAGUUGUCGAGUGGCCAAUAUUGGGCGAAAUCAAUCGGGGCUAGCUGAUGCUGUCAUUCAAAUUGAUGGCUCAUGGCACAAAAAGUCCAUGACAGGAGGUGCAGCUUGGAUUAUGAAGGAUGAACAUUUGCAAAAGAUAUAUGGUGGCUGCUUGCACGCCAAUGGAGUCUCUGCCUUACAUAUGGAAGUUUUAGGCUGUUUACAUGGUAUCAAAUGGGCAAUAACACAUCGAUUUCAUAAUGUAAGCAUCUACACCAAGUCUCGUGACUUGGUACAACUUCUGCAAGGAAGUACUCCAUUGGAUAUUACACUAUUAUGGCCUAUACAGGAAAUCAAAUAUCAAGCUUUGCUGUUGAAUUGGUGUUGUGUUCAUAGAGUUUCGAGGUCUGAAAUUCAUCAUGCUCAUAAUGCUGCUAUUGCUUGUAGAGCAGGGUUACUUUCUCCUUGUAGUAGUUUUUAACUGGUCUUAUGGCGUGGUUCUCUUUGACAAUGUCAAAUAAAAAUGUGUCAAAUAGCAAAUAUAUUCAUGGCUUCAUUACAUAUUUUCAUGUCAUUGAAGUGCAUGCUUCCAUAUUUUUUCUUUGUACAACGUUGUUGUGUCACCAACCUUCUUUAGGUUGCGUUUGGAUACCCAUAUUUCAUUUCAAAUAGUACAUUUCAAUUUCGGAAUUCCAAUUUCCGAAAUUCAAUUCCAA
RNA transcript from Beta vulgaris subsp. vulgaris (sugar beet), 3044 nucleotides. RefSeq lists it as hypothetical. The transcript has 4 exons. The record is from RefSeq and is a predicted model, not a curated record. NCBI's taxonomy places the organism in Eukaryota, Viridiplantae, Streptophyta, Magnoliopsida, Caryophyllales, Amaranthaceae.